This is a non-coding RNA of Potamilus streckersoni, 73 nucleotides long. Lineage: Eukaryota; Metazoa; Mollusca; Bivalvia; Unionida; Unionidae. The record is from the annotation of a GenBank genome assembly.
CGCUCCGGUGGCCUAGUGGUUAGAGCGUCUGCCUCGGAUGCGGAAAGUCGCGGAUUAUACCCGGGCCGAGUGG